AUUCUGGUUGAUCCUGCCAGUAGUUAUAUGCUUGUCUCAAAGAUUAAGCCAUGCAUGUCUAAGUACACACGAAUUAAAAGUGAAACCGCAAAAGGCUCAUUAUAUCAGUUAUGGUUCCUUAGAUCGUUAACAGUUACUUGGAUAACUGUGGUAAUUCUAGAGCUAAUACAUGCAAUUAAAACAUGAACCUUAUGGGACAUGUGCUUUUAUUAGGCUAAAACCAAGCGAUCGCAAGAUCGUUAUAUUGGUUGAACUCUAGAUAACAUGCAGAUCGUAUGGUCUUGUACCGACGACAGAUCUUUCAAAUGUCUGCCCUAUCAACUUUUGAUGGUAGUAUCUAGGACUACCAUGGUUGCAACGGGUAACGGGGGAAUCAGGGGUUCGAUUCCGGAGAGGGAGCCUGAGAAACGGCUACCACAUCUAAGGAAGGCAGCAGGCGCGUAAAUUACCCACUCCCAGCUCGGGGAGGUAGUGACGAAAAAUAACAAUACAGGACUCAUAUCCGAGGCCCUGUAAUUGGAAUGAGUACACUUUAAAUCCUUUAACAAGGACCAAUUGGAGGGCAAGUCUGGUGCCAGCAGCCGCGGUAAUUCCAGCUCCAAUAGCGUAUAUUAAAGUUGUUGCGGUUAAAACGUUCGUAGUUGAACUUGUGCUUCAUACGGGUAGUACAACUUACAAUUGUGGUUAGUACUAUACCUUUAUGUAUGUAAGCGUAUUACCGGUGGAGUUCUUAUAUGUGAUUAAAUACUUGUAUUUUUUCAUAUGUUCCUCCUAUUUAAAAACCUGCACUAGUGCUCUUAAACGAGUGUUAUUGUGGGCCGGUACUAUUACUUUGAACAAAUUAGAGUGCUUAAAGCAGGCUUCAAAUGCCUGAAUAUUCUGUGCAUGGGAUAAUGAAAUAAGACCUCUGUUCUGCUUUCAUUGGUUUUCAGAUCAAGAGGUAAUGAUUAAUAGAAGCAGUUUGGGGGCAUUAGUAUUACGACGCGAGAGGUGAAAUUCUUGGACCGUCGUAAGACUAACUUAAGCGAAAGCAUUUGCCAAAGAUGUUUUCAUUAAUCAAGAACGAAAGUUAGAGGUUCGAAGGCGAUCAGAUACCGCCCUAGUUCUAACCAUAAACGAUGCCAGCUAGCAAUUGGGUGUAGCUACUUUUAUGGCUCUCUCAGUCGCUUCCCGGGAAACCAAAGCUUUUGGGCUCCGGGGGAAGUAUGGUUGCAAAGCUGAAACUUAAAGGAAUUGACGGAAGGGCACCACCAGGAGUGGAGCCUGCGGCUUAAUUGACUC
This 1281-nucleotide non-coding RNA is filed under the name Drosophila sechellia. Its description in RNAcentral is "Eukaryotic small subunit ribosomal RNA". It matches the Rfam family "Eukaryotic small subunit ribosomal RNA", at positions 1 to 1201 of the family's 1831-position model. Lineage: Eukaryota; Metazoa; Arthropoda; Insecta; Diptera; Drosophilidae. The record is from Rfam by way of RNAcentral.